UACGUAGGGGGCGAGCGUUGUCCGGAUUUACUGGGCGUAAAGCGCGUGUAGGCGGCUGGAUAAGUUGGGUGUGAAAGCCCGGGGCUCAACCCCGGGACGCCGCCCAAGACUGUUCGGCUUGAGGACGGAAGAGGGGCGUGGAAUUCCUGGUGUAGCGGUGAAAUGCGUAGAGAUCAGGAGGAACACCCGUGGCGAAGGCGGCGCCCUGGUCCGUUUCUGACGCUGAGACGCGAAAGCGCGGGGAGCGAACGGG
This 253-nucleotide ribosomal RNA is filed under the name uncultured bacterium. Its description in RNAcentral is "partial 16S ribosomal RNA". It matches the Rfam family "Bacterial small subunit ribosomal RNA", at positions 524 to 776 of the family's 1533-position model. The record is from RNAcentral.